RNAcentral lists this long non-coding RNA (4501 nucleotides) under Homo sapiens (human). RNAcentral describes it as "HSALNT0383804". Lineage: Eukaryota; Metazoa; Chordata; Mammalia; Primates; Hominidae. The record is from RNAcentral.
CUCGGCCUCCCAAAGUGCUGGGAUUAUAGAAGUGAGCCACCGCGCCCCGCAAGACUCAGUAUAUAUUUUUGAACAAACAGGUUGAAUAGAUUUUGUUCUUCUGUAAGUAAUUGAGCAAGAGGAAUGCAUUUUUCUCCUCUCUCUCUCUGUCACCUCACCCUAAUGCCAUCUAUGUGGUUACUUUGCACAGGGCGAGAGUCAAAGACCUUCAUCCUCCUUGCUGCUCUUUGUCUUCUCCACCAGGCCUCCUCAGUGGGUCCUUCUGGUGGCCCCGGGCCAGCAAGAGCAGGGACAGAGAGAGGCUUCUGAGCCGACCUGGCCUCGGACGACCUUGGCAUCCCACCUGCAGAGUUCCUGUCAGAGCAGACGUGCUGUCUCGUGACUGGAGGACUAAACCACCCCUGUGUUCAGUCACCUUCCAGGCCUCCUGUCCCACGAAGUCUGCUUCUCACCAGGCUCCACAGGAAAUCUUGUCUUACAGCGCUGGAAAGAAGCUCCAGGAGUGUGCUGGAAAUGCUUCCCUCAGUUCUUCCGGUUAGCUGUGGGGGUAAACAUCUGCCCACGAGAAGACUGGAGAUCUGAAGCCUCCCAGGUUGCCUUAGGUGGGAGAUUAAUCUCCAGGAACAAGACCCCAGUAAAUAACAUGAGGUGGUGGGAUUCAGCUUUGCACCCAGCAUCAACACUCUUACAUCCCCAACAGCACAGAAGAUCACAUUUUCUUAAAAGUUAUACAACCACACACUUGAAGGAAGGAAGCUUGGAACGUGCCACCUGCAUGGCUGGUGUGUGCUGAGAUGGAAUUCUGACUGAAGCUGCAAAGCCUGGGGCCGGUCUGGCUUCUUGCUGGCCUGCCUGGCAUCAGGACUUCUGCUUGGCUGGAGGUGGUCACAGGCAGGGCAGGGAAGAUGGGCUCAGAAGCUUGGGAACCACGUGGUCACAUGUGCCCGCUGGAGGUUUGGAACAUUCCUCUGCAGUGAAGAAGACACUCGUGGCUCUCAGCAGUCUCUCUGCUCUCUCUCUAGGCCAGCAGUUAGAAGGUCUUAGUAUGGUGGGGACAUUGCUUUGAGUUCAUCACAGCACUCAUCCAAGUUCUCCCUGGUCCUCUGUGGGGGACACAUGCUGACGAGGCUACUCAGACUCCUGUUCCCAAAGCUGCCCAACCCGGCCCCCUCAUCAGUCCCCGGCGGACAGGCCUCUGCGGAUUUUACCAGCAGUGAGCACCUGCCCAUAGCUGGCCCAUUCCUCGUCUCUUUCCUGGGAACUCGGUACUGAAAUUCAGAUGCAGAGAGGUCAUGUCUGCUCGUGGUUGACGGAUCCCAAAGAAGGCUACACUCCCUUAUAUGUAAUUCAGAAAUUCAAAAAGCUCUGAAAACUCUAAGUGUUCUCUUCCAUUUGUGGCAAACACAUUUGGCAGCAAAACCAGCCUGGACUGAUGUGAGCUCUAGGUAGUGUCAGUAUCCCCCUUAAUGAGGUCACCUGGUGGACAGACCCACGUGACUGACUAUGGGGUGCUCUCCUGGAGCCCACUAGCAAUACAAAUAUUUGGUUGAUGCACUGUCAUUACCUUUUGAACACAUAAAAUGCUCUGAAGCUUGAACUGUAUGUGGCCCAAAAGGAUCUGGGUAAAGGAUGUGGAUUUACAUAAGAGGUGCCGUGGGCUACCCUACCAGCUUCCACACGGACAAGUUCUGAGAAAGCCAGUCUGCAGUGGGUGCACGGGGUUGUGACUACCAAAUGCAAGCUUCGGAGACCACAGAGCUAAGGUCCUGACAUCUUCAGCUUUGCAACAGCUUCCCUCCUUUUCAUUAAGCGGCCCCAGCUGGCUUGGCGGAGCUGUCGUCAGAGAGUCCUAACCAUCACGCCCCUCAUCCCCACGGAGGCUCAGACCUGGGGGGUUCUGCCGUGCCAGGCAGGAGGCGCUGGGAACGCACAGCCACGUCCAGACGCAGCCUUUGCCAAGCUCUCCGACACUUCAGUGGGCCCAUGGCCUGCUGGCCUGGGCAAGGAGGACUGAACUCUUGAAGGUUUCCACUUCAAUGAGAUUCCAUGAGAAAAGCAGAAAUGGGGUGGGUUUGGCAGUGGGCCAUCUCAAUGGGUUUCUGUCUAAAGGCUUUUCCAUUUAGAAAUAUUUUCUAAGGAGGAUCUUUGUCUUCUUUUGGAGGUGGGAUGGAUUUGUGGUCCUGAAUCCUCCCUUGGAAAAUCUACCUCUGCAAGAAUUCUUUCUUCUUUUUUUUUUUUUUUUUAAAAAAAGGAAGAGGAAAAAAAAGAACAAAAAUACAGCUUCCCUUCUUUUGAACUGUGCGUCACUCGCCAAAGAAUUCCGCAGCGAUAGCACUGCUAUGAAUAGGGCAGUCAUAAUGGGCUUCAGAAGAGCCCGGAGCCCAACCACAGGAAACGUUCCUAUCACGGCUCAGCUAGAACUGUGCCUCUUAUAAAUGGAGUUUUCAGAGGAACACUUAUAAUCCGUAUUCCCCUCCUGCCUUCUAAAUUGGCCAUCUAUUAUUUUGUUUUUACCCUUGAUGAAGUGCUCCUUUUAAAAAUGCUGGCUUCUGUUGGUAUUUGAGAGAAAUGAAACUGCAGAUGCAAGAAGUCAGGGCGAUUCUACCCCAGAGCAGGACGUGUCGAGCUACCUGUGCAAAGCCCCGAGCGUGGGGUCUCUCCUUCAAACGCGAGAUACUUACUGCCUGGUAGCUGUCCUCAUCAAACAGGGCUGCUCUUUUCAGAUCAAAGGCGGUGGCACUCUAGUGACAAUAACUUAGGACUUAGGCAGAGAGAAACAGAAAGGAAGUGGGUGAAAGGUCACAUUCCCAAUCCAAGUGGCCCCCCAGAGAGCCACACCGCAAGGCUUCCUGGGUGGAGGAUCUGGGCAGACUCAAGUCCCAACCACUGUGGUGAUAAGGCAACGAAACAGUCCAGCCAUCCAAAAGCGGUCAGAAGGAAAACAGAAGUUUAAUCUGGACUUGGAGAAAUCUGUGGAAACACAGACAUUUCAGUGGGAUUUCUGUGCUGAAUAAAUAAGACGGGAGCAUUGAAAACUGAAGCAGGCAACCAAGGAAAGAACAACUUGGGGCACAAAGUUGAGUUGAAAUUUGAAGAGCGUGAGUCUGUCCCAGACCUGACCUCUUCUUGCUCCUGCAAAGUGGGAGUGGGCAGUAAAGAGGUCUAAAAGUAUCUUUAUCUGGCAUGCCGGGGAAAGCUGAAGGUUCGGAUUCAAGGCUGCUUCUCAUGAGAACCAAAUGGCAGCUCUCUCGCUUCCAAUUAGGGGUCUGCGUGUGCCUGACACAGCGGGAAGCCUCCUGCCACCUCCUGCAUCCGACUCACAGCCAGGCGGAGGGAGGCAAAGGCCGGUGUGCAACUGCACGGCUCCAGCCGCACACGUUCCUUCUAGGAGGGCAGGUCUCCCCUCUCCCUCAACUGCAGGGAAAAUUCAGGGUGCAAAGGCCGUGUUUCUCUUGAAUUCUGCUGGCGAGCUGAUGGCGCAGCUACAUUACACGGUCCCCAAAGGUGGUGUUCUUUUUAAAAAAGGACAAUGAUGGGGCUCCCCAAUACUUUCAAAUGAGUCCUCAUCUGAGUGGGCUGGUGUUAUCUGCUACAAUUUAGAGCAUCACAUGUUGCUCUACGAGUCAGCUCAAAGAGGAUGGGUCAGGCUGUUAGACUAAAAGCUGCAGAUCUGAGGCUGCUAUUCCAGAGAUGCCCGGGCCCACCUUCACACAGCUACGCACACCUGAACUUGCGACAGCAGAAGGCCAAAUGCAGAUUUCAAAGGCUCUUCCCAUCACAGGGAAGAAACAUAAGACCUGGCAUCAGAACUUCAUUCUUCUGCAAAACACUUUUGAGGCUGUCUAAAAAUCAGGCCCAGUUUCCUGAGUUCUUCUUCAAGCUCCCUCACUCCACACCCAUGAAGUCAUGCGGUCUGUCUUCUUCAAGUGUUGGCAGCCAGGCAAUAGCUGCUUAUUUUCUGUGAGUCAACUGCUCUGGAAGUGAGGUCAGCUCCCGCCCUGGCCUCUUGUCAGCUGCAGGUGCUUAGAGGUGUCCUGUAACCUUAUUCCCUCUCAUCUUCUGCACAGCUUGUUUUGCGUAUUAAAUGAGACGAUGUAUGUAGAGCUAACUUGUGUCUUGUACAUGACAUACCGAUAAACGGGUUCAUAUGUCAUCAUUAUAGCACAAAGUCUUGUUUCCUAAAGAAGAACAGUUUUAGGUAAAAAAAAAAAAAAAAAAAAAAAAAACCCAACAACCCUGAAGCGGGUCCUGGGGUGUCCUCAUCUAUUAAGGACAUUAAUUAAGCAGACAUUACAAAUGUAUACAUGACACACCACCUAGAACUUCAUCAGCUACUGGAAAUGCUUGCAGUGGCCCGAUGGGGCAGAGCCUCUUGAUUCAGGAGAAAGCUCUUGGAAAGAAAAUGGGACCUGUGCUUAUUAUCAUCUUUCCUAAGUUGCAAACUAUUCUCAAAAUGUUCCCCAACAUCCUAGCCAAGGAUUAAGAGCCAAUUCAAAAUAAA